RNAcentral lists this small nucleolar RNA (87 nucleotides) under Sorex araneus (European shrew). RNAcentral's name for it is "Small nucleolar RNA SNORA31 (ENSSARG00000019033.1)". Lineage: Eukaryota; Metazoa; Chordata; Mammalia; Eulipotyphla; Soricidae. The record is from RNAcentral.
AAGUUUCUAGAGAUGCAAGAAAAAAGUGUCCUUGUGCUUUCUGCCUGUUUGAUUGUGGCAGCCCAGAUUGAAUGGGGAAGUACGAGA